This 283-nucleotide long non-coding RNA is filed under the name Monodelphis domestica (gray short-tailed opossum). RNAcentral's name for it is "lncRNA (ENSMODG00000032810.2)". The record is from RNAcentral. Lineage: Eukaryota; Metazoa; Chordata; Mammalia; Didelphimorphia; Didelphidae.
UCGCAUCACUUCCUCUCUCCAGCCUCUUUUGGCAGAGAAGUGGCUCUUGGCUGGCAGCAUCUUGGCGUGGCUGCAGCUAUUGUCCGAGUUUGGUGGUGAGAGUCCUUGACUGGGAGAAGCUUAGUAACCUAGUUCAGUUCCUCAAGUCAGCCUUUUAAGCAUCUAACUCAGCAGUUUGAAACCCAGCUGCAAGAUCAGCUGUGUUUUUUUAAGCCGAGUUAGCACGUUUAAAAAGACUGACUGACUUGAGCAAGUAAUAAAGAGAGAAAGGAAAGAAAUUUCA